RNAcentral lists this long non-coding RNA (1352 nucleotides) under Astyanax mexicanus (Mexican tetra). RNAcentral describes it as "lncRNA (ENSAMXG00005014279.1)". Lineage: Eukaryota; Metazoa; Chordata; Actinopteri; Characiformes; Acestrorhamphidae. The record is from RNAcentral.
AUGACGUGGCCCAUUCUGUUGGCAGGGCUUUUCUGCAGAGAUGUAACACAACCUAAUUUUGAGCAUAAUUUAAUAGUGUAUAUUGAGGGAAUGUAUGUAUUGCAGAUGUCUUUUGGACUGUCUGAUUAUUUGUGUGAUGGUUCUAUUUCAGUUGUGAGGUAUCCUACAGAUCUUGGCACCGGAGGUGGUGGUAAAGCACCCAAACCAGGUUAUGGAUCUUUGGGCACAGGAUAUCAACCAGGUGGUUUUGUACCAGGAGGUUAUGGAGGGCUCCCACAGGCGUAUCCAGGAGGCUAUGGAGCAGGGUUGACGCCACAGCAAGCUAAAGCAGCCAAAUAUGGAGCACUGGGGGGAUUCCUGGGCGGAGGCUACAGAGGUGGUGCAGGGUGCCAGGGCAAAUACUGCGGCAGGAGGAGAAAAUGAGCGAUCUCUUGAGAUGUGAAGUGACCUCAAGAAACAAUGGUGCUACUGCAUGAUCUAGAAUGUACAUUUGAUAUACAAAGAACAACCCAUCAUGUACAAAUGUGUUUUAUAUAUCUACAGAAAAAAAUAUUUUUAUUAACAAAUUGGAAAGGAAAGCCCAGUGAGAGAGAAAGAAAGGCAAGUGCCGUGUUACGUAGAUCAGAAAUGCAGUCGUUCAUGUGACACAUGCCAACAUGUUGCUGUUUGUUUUUUGUUAGUUUUUUUUAUUGUUGGUUUUUUUUUGUAGAUUUGGUCACCAAAUGGGCAAACUGGCAACUAGGAAGGUUCAUUAGCUUUAUAGUUUAUUGUACAAUUGUGAAAUGUAGGGCACCUAUUUUUAAUUUCCUCAAGAUUUUGAUCCAAAGGUCUAAAGCCGCGCAGCUUUAGGUGGUGAUAGUCAGCAGACCAAAGUGUAUCAUAGAUGUGGUUUGCUAUUUUUUGCUUUUGACACAACUUUUUAUUCUAGGUGAUGUUAUUGGUCUUGUCUAAAUUAAAAAUAGGGUCUGUUACAGUGCACCUCUGUGGAUACCCACUCUGCCUUACGAGUGCUGUGGAGUUCUGCUCCAAGAGACCUGUCAUAAUGCUAACAAACUGGCCUUUAAAUAGCAAAAUAUGGCUUCUUAUGCUGGCUUUGAUGCUGUUGAGGAACUUAAAAGAGAAGUGCUGUUCUAUCUAGUCCCCCCCCCCAAAAAAAAAAAAACUCCCUCAGAUUCGACAGAAAAGACCAGUGUCUAAUUACUUUAUUCACAUUGUAAUGGGAUUACUUUAAUUAUUACAUCCAGGAGAAAGUAAUGUCACAGCUGAUUAUGUUAAUUCUAUGUUAUUCUGUCUUUUACAAAGCUGUACUGGAACUGGAAAAUGCAGAAUAAAAUCCAAAGAGUAGCUAAACA